AAAUAUCUUUAAAAUGGAGAAAGAAAAACUCAUCAAAUCUUCAGAAACCAUCGGAGGUGGAGGCUUAGAAUCUUCAUUAACACAACUUAUCCAUGAUCAUAACCUCACCACCAUCAAAACCCGUGAACAAGCAGAUAAGGCAAAGAAGGAAGCAUUGAAGGGUGCAAUUCGAGUUUCAGAUUUGUUAGUUGAAACUGUGAAUGGUGGAGUACAGGAAACAUAUGUAAAUCAGAAACGAAUUGAGAAUGAAAUUAGGGCAUUAACAGCUUCAACAAUAAGGUUUACCAAACAAACUGAUCAGUGGCUUUCGGAUUCUCAUUCUAUCAAUUCUUCUUUAAAGUGUUUGGAUGCGUAACACCUCGUAAAUUGAUUUGCAUUGAGACUCAUUACUGUGGUUUGUGAUGAAUAUUGCAAUCGUGGUAGUAUGUCAUGGGUGGAGGAGUCGAAAAUGCAAUUUUCUAGCCUGUUUUUGCACCAGUGCUACGCAAAACGAAGAGUGAGAUUAAGCGCGUAUGAGCACAUCCAACUUUUCCAGUCGAGAUUGGGGACUUUGAAAACUGGAUGAGGACCAUGGAUUACGACUGCAAAAUCAUAAAUGCAGCAAUCCGCAACAUAUACAAGCCAUAAAGUAAACAUCCUUCUGCAAAACUUGUAUACUCUUUCUUUUAACAGUUCAAAAAUGUCCGGUGAAUGAAUUUCAGAACAUACUUCUAUUUACAACCUGAUUAACAACAAAAAAAAAGAAGAGAAUGAACAAGACUAAAAUUUUGUGUCAUCUGACAGCAGAUGCAACAGUAUGGGCCCAAUUUCUAAGAUGAAAUUUCAUUUCAAUUUCACUGUUUAAUUUAGGAACUUGCCAAUUGAUUAAUAGCAGCUCUUCUUCCUUUCUUUUGUUAUCUAGCACAGCCCAAGCUUCAGACAAGUAAGGUCUUGCAGACUUGUUAUUAUUAUUAUUCUCACCUCUGCCUAAUUUGCCUUCUUCUUCUUGUGCUUUCCUAAUCUCUGUAAACCGGGAAUUAUUGAAACCAAACUUGAAUUCUUAUCUUCUUCAGAAAAUACAAAACCCAAAUCCAUGAACCCUUUUAAUUUUUCAAACUCAAGGUCUGAUAGACUUUUAUUGCUCUUCAUCUCGUUCAAUCUUUUACCCUUGAGCAUCAAUUUAUUUGAAGCUUCUCUAGUUUCAGCUGCUGCUGAUGAUGAAGUUUCUGUUCUUCGUCUUCUGAAGCUUCUUUUCCUGAAUUGAUUGUUUGUAAUUGCUGUGGUCUUAGAACUGAAUCAGGUGAUGAAAAAGAACAAGUAAAACUUGUCAAUUCUUCACUCACUGAUCGAAGAAGAGAUGAUUGGAUUCGUGUAAUCUCUGGUUUGAAUGAAAGUAAAGAUGGUGUGAUGAUUGAUAUAUCGUUGUAAAACCAAUUAGAAUCAAAGAGAUUCAAUAAUUGUUCCUGAUCCAUUUUUUUGUUGGGAAGUAAUGAUGAAACCCUGUAAUAUGUACAUGUAGUUGACCUAAAGAAACAACCUCAGAGAUUCUACUGGAUAUUGCUAGAAAUACCUACUCUGAAUAUUAUUAAGUAAGUAGAUAGAACACGUUUAAAUUAAGAAUUCCAUUCUAUUAGUUAACUUCCUCGUGAAACUUGUUGAGAAA
Molecule: RNA transcript, 1642 nt
Organism: Papaver somniferum (opium poppy)
Lineage: Eukaryota; Viridiplantae; Streptophyta; Magnoliopsida; Ranunculales; Papaveraceae
Gene name: biogenesis of lysosome-related organelles complex 1 subunit 1-like
Exons: 4
Source: RefSeq, a predicted model, not a curated record